Molecule: transfer RNA, 76 nt
Filed under: Desulfocapsa sulfexigens
Lineage: Bacteria; Pseudomonadati; Thermodesulfobacteriota; Desulfobulbia; Desulfobulbales; Desulfocapsaceae
Description: tRNA-Val
Rfam family: tRNA
About the family: Transfer RNA (tRNA) molecules are approximately 80 nucleotides in length.
Source: RNAcentral
GGGCGGUUAGCUCAGCUGGGAGAGCAUCGGCCUUACAAGCCGGGGGUCACUGGUUCAAGCCCAGUAUCGCCCACCA